AAGGAUUUAAGUUAAAUAAAACUAGUAACCUUCAAAGUUGCCAAUAUUGUCUUCUUUAAGCCUUA
This 65-nucleotide transfer RNA is filed under the name Chauliognathus opacus. Its description in RNAcentral is "tRNA-Trp". Lineage: Eukaryota; Metazoa; Arthropoda; Insecta; Coleoptera; Cantharidae. The record is from RNAcentral.